Molecule: long non-coding RNA, 1286 nt
Organism: Vespa crabro (European hornet)
Lineage: Eukaryota; Metazoa; Arthropoda; Insecta; Hymenoptera; Vespidae
Exons: 4
Source: RefSeq, a predicted model, not a curated record
CCUCAAGAUUUAACAACAACAAUCUCUAUAACCACGAUAUUUCUUCUUCCAUUUGUUAGAUGCAAUAUAAUGUCAGUUACCUUUUUAUCACUGUAUUGUACGUGUCGAGUUGUUGUAUACAAAUCGUUCUACUGGUUGACCGCAGAAUGAAAUUCCUGACGGGUGAUGGAAUGAAAAAUGCAAUAUUUUUUCAAAAACCCUCCUAUCAUAUACGCAUAUACACAUACAGGCACACGCAUUAACAUAGACGCACGUGCACGCACGCACGUUUUACGGACACAUACAUACGUAUAUACGAAUACGAGAAGAAACGAAUAGCCUUGUCAUGAUGAACAGUGAUAACGAGACGAACGUGCUUCGACAAGCUUUCCCUUCGACAGUAUUCAAUGUGACUUCGAAAAGGUAACAUCUCUACGUGCCAUCGUCCUCCCGUCUUAAAUCAUCGUACAAGAUAUUCUACGAAAGGAACGUCACCUCAUGGCCAUUCGUACAACAUAGUUAAGACGACAUAGAAAUGUUUCUAUGGGUGGACCAAAAGUUUUUCAUUCUUCGAAUGAUUUUAUACGAUUUGAGAAAAGAUAAGGAAAAAAAAAAAAAAAGAAAAGAAAAAAAAAUUAAUAGAAACAUGACAAAGAGAAAUAACAACGACGAUUACGACAAUGACAGCAACAACGACGACGACGAAUUCGUUUUCGAAAAAAAAGAUCGUUCGAUAAGAGAUUAACAAAACGUCAGUGUGUGAAGGGUUUGAUAGAGCUAUCGGGGAACUCUCGAGUAGGAGAUGAUCUCAAGGACGACUGGAAAUGGCGGAGACACGCUCGUAAUCCUGUCUCUUAGGGGGAUGAAACGAAUUGGCAUCGGAAGUGUCGAUGGACUUAAGCUCGCUUCACGGGCAACCGAGAGGAAGAGUAGUAGAACUAAAAGUUGAAGAAGAAGAAGAAGAAGAAGAAGAUGAAGAAUAAGAGGAAGAAGAAGAAAAAGAAGAAGAAGAAGAAGAAGAAGAAGAUGAAGAAAAGAAAUAGCGUUGAGAAUGGGAAGGAGGAACGAGCCAUCGUUUCCUGUCGCGGGUGGAACUCAAGUCGAGAGGUGAAACGUCAGAGAAGAAGAAGAAGGAAGAGGAAAAGAAAAAGGAUGGAAGAGAAAGCAUCAAUGCAAUGAGAGAGUGAGAGAGAGAGAGAGAGAAACGAGGGUGUCUAACGAACUUGGAAAAGUAGCUCGUAAAAACUCUCCUAUCUCCUGAUUGUUCUUCCGUCCUUCCUUCGAAGCCGCAUACUUCGGAACAAAAA